AUCCAUCUAUCACACGUGUAGACAAAGGGGGACUCCACAACACAAAGCUGGAUGUGCCCUCUCAAAACUUUUUUUUCUCCUCCGCGACGCACGGCGACGCGCGCAGAGCACGCCGCCCCCCAGGUGGAUUCAAACUCCAGAUUAACCAGCAGAGCGCUUUCUGCCAUGGGAGGUACAGGAAAUACAAAUGUGUGGAAAUCAAAUGGAAGACGUACGGAGUCACCUAUCAAGCAGCCUUUAAAACGAGGAGGAGGAGGAGGAUUAAGAGGCUGAACUGUUUUCUUCUGGAGAAGGUGAAGAUUCAGGGAUUUAAACUCGAGCAGCAUCAGUGCCAGGCGGGAUGUCUCCUCGGCACACUCGGAAAUCGAAAAGUCAUGGAGACACUUUGAGGAUUAUAAAAAAAAGUGCAGUGUGUCUUUCCACAAGACACGUCGCGGGCCGGAAUCACUGGAACAGGAGGAUAUAUCAUGUCUGAUCCCAUCGACGGCCCUCAGCCGGGGUAGGGAGUGCGGGAGCAGUGAGGUCUGGGAGAUCACGACCUUAAUUCUCUCUAAGACAGACAGUUUAAUUAACACUGGAAUCCUCACCGGCUCCAGACCUCGGCGAUGGGAAUGUUCGGGGGAAUUGGAUUGCCAAGACUCCACCAGGAGCAAAGGUGAAGAGCUACUGAAUAUACUGGAAAGGAAGAUAUGAAACUGUUAAAUGUGAAGGGAAAUUGCAACAGUGAGUUGCCUCUGCAGACACGUCAUUAUGCAUUUGACCCUGUGCGGUUUUCAGACACUCAUAUUUUGUCUGAAAGUUCAAAAUGGUUCUAUCACAUCAUUAGUGUACAUUGUUUGCAGAAUGAAAAAAAAGUAGUGUCAUUAAUUGAAUAAUCAAUGUGUGAGUAUGAUAUAGCUGAGCACAGUUUGAGACUCUCACUCACUCUGAAUUGUCAGCAUGUUUGACAAAUAAUCAUUCAUAAGCUCAUGCAACAUUACAGUGUUGGAAGUCUUUGACAUUUCUAAAGGGUUUAAGUUUUGAACACAGUUUCUCUAUCUGCUUCAUUAAUCAACACUUUCAAAUAAACUUUUUGUUUGUGUCACUGCCUUCACCUCAAAACCAAAAGUAUGUCAGUGUGAGGUUGGACAUAGUUCAAAAAUACAAGUGUUUUGGAUCACGUGUUGUACAUUUUUCUGAAAAAGUAUUCGGAGAAAGGUUGAAUUUAAGGUGAUUGAACAGAAAGAAACUGCAACACAGCAAAUAGUAGAUAGCAAUAUAUGCAAGAAUCAAAGGGGCGAACACACACACACACACACACACACACACACACACACAAACCUUCCCUUUGAACAGUGCAGUGCUCGCCCUAAAGCUCAAACGCUAGAUUACAGUUUGUAGCACCUGCAUGUUUUAGUGAGUCUGCUGUCGGGGGGGAUUUCCAACUCUGCAUGUGAAUAUUCAGAGGUGAGCCUUACCGGCACAGACCUUCCUCUCUUGUCAUGUGCCAAUAACAAGCACCUGAUUGACUGUUUGCUCUCAGCACAGAAGAAAGUUUUACUUUGCGUGCCUCAGUUCUUUCAACAGAAAACAGCUUCUUACUGCAUGAGGAUCAACAGGACUUAAAUGUUAUUAUAUGACACAAACCAAAUGUGCAAGUCUUAGCAAUGCUGGUUAGGUGCAGGUGUGUAUGCAGACUGACAGGGAUAAGUUACUGCAACAGUAACACAUCAAGAUGAGGCCAGAUUUAGCCAUGUGUUUUGAAGAAGAUGUUUUCGUGUGUGUGUAUGUGUCUGUAUGUGUGUGUGUGUGCAUGUGUAUUAGUAGUUUGGACCCUGCUGAGGUGACAGAUGUUCAUGGCAGAGGUGGGCAUGGAUGAGACGCGAUGUCCAAAUUAAUCCACUGGUGUGUGAGGAGGAGUACUCUCCUCGAUGGAAGUCAGACAAGCUGCCCUUCAACUGUCUGUGCUGUCUUCACGACAUUGUGUAUGUGUGUGUGCGUGUGUGUGUGUGUGUGUGUGUGUGUGUGUGUGUGUGUGUAUAUGUGUGUGUGUGUGUGUGUGUAUGUGCUGCCAUGAUUAAGUGCUGGCAGGAAAGACUUCCACCUUCAGCCAUGAAGUGAUUUGAGUUUCCCAAGGCUUCAGCAGAUGUCCAAACCCCAGAAUUCAGCCUUUGCAUCCUUGUGUCUUUUUGUGUCACAUAUCUAUGAGCUCCUAUUGCACUGCUAUAUUCUUCCUUUCCUCCUUUCUGCACUCAUUUUCAAACUGAAGCAGCGGCUCAUUUAUUCUAACUGACUUUGCAACAAUUUGCAGGAGAACACACCUAAUCAAAACCGUAUCACUAAUCUGAACAAGAACCUCAGAAGAAUUUCCCAAAGAGGCAGCAAAACCACACACAUGCCUGAACACACACCCACACACACACCACAGACUGUUGAUGUUUACUAAGUACGGUGCAGAUAAACAUGCGUGUACCUUUGCACACUCUGAAGGACAAGGAAGUGUUGGUUAGCACGAUAUGCAAAAUCUAACCUUUUAGGAUGAUGGAAGAGAAACACACACACGGUUUCUCACGGUUACAUGUCAGCUGCUUACUUACAGAAUUAUUACCAUUAAAAAGCAGAAGCACUAACUGCUCCUUUUCUUAUGUAAAGGGAGAAAUGAAACUUGUGAAAUCUGUUGUUUAGAAGAAGACAUUAUUUUAAAGUUUGUAAACAUUUGGGAUGAUCAGCCAAAAAUGUUGCCAUGAUUUUAAUUUGAAUCAGGAAUGCUUAAUCUCAAAAACUGUACAUUUGUGACACUUUAAAUGAAUGUUGUAAUGUCUGUGCACCAUUGAUAAUGAUGAUUAUUAUAAAAAUAAGUAUUUGAUUAGAUAAAGAAUCUGAGUUUAACACAACUCAGAUAAGUUAAAAUAAGGGAAAUAGGGGCUGAGCUGUAGGACUAAUGCUGAACCCACAUGAACACGGUAUUCAACUUUGUCUGCUGAGCAAGUCAGGCCUCGGCUGCGUGUUUUAAUGAGCUGUAAGUGUUUCUGUAGUCUGCUCAAUGAAAGCAAUCAAAGGCAAGCAAUUACAAGAUCUUGGUCACCAGCCCUGGGGGCUCAACUUCAGACUGGGAAACGCUCGCGCACACAUGCACUGACAAACACACAAACUAACGCAGACGCACAUUAUAUACAGACAGUCACCCACACAUUUCCUGUGUGUUUCAUGUAAGACGGGCUUUUCUUGUUUCUCUUGUGUUUGGAGAGGAAGUGCGGGUCUAAUGACUUUUCCUAUGCGUCACGUACACCCCACACGCGGGAGGCAGACAGCGGCUCUGCACGUGUGUGCAUGUGAGAACCUUUAUGCAUAUAUGUAUGAGCCUGUGGAGGGCUCCACACAUGCAGGUUUUGUUAUGCACUUGUUGGACGCUUCAUUUGUAUUUACGAGUUUUUGCUUUUGAGACGCUUCACACUGUGUUUGUUUUUGGUGAGAGAAAGUUAUGCAUGUUUUUUUGUGUCUUCAUAGAAAAUGUUUACACUAAGUCACCGUUGAGUAUUUUUUUAACGGGAACAAUACGUUUGUCUCAGAGGGAUUUAGCACAUUUGCUUGUUGUUCCAGUUUCUGCCUUUGAUGUGACCAUCUGUGCUUGUGAGACACUUCUGUAUGUGCUUGUACCGAAGUGAGACCGCACACUACUGUAUGUGGUGCACUGUUUGUUGUUGCAAGUUCUUCUCGCUCGCUUCUCGUAAACACCACUACCACUGAGACCUUAUGCAGUUUGUAAACUUUUUUACAUUUUUUUGGACCACUCACAACUCCUCUGUAUCGAUCGUAGUCAAUAUUUCAUUCCUUCUGAGAAUUUGUGUCUACCAAGCUAAAAUUCGAGUUAUAAUUUGUUGCAGUAAUGUAUCAUAUAUUUAUGACACUUGGUUUUUUCCAGCAUUGUCCCAUAGCAUGAUUUCAAGCUUGGAAAGAGAAUUAUUUCCAAAACCAUCAAUGAGCUCUCAAAGUAUGUUGUUCUUUAUUCUGAAAAAUAAAAAUUUCAUGAGCAUUUUCAAGGUUUGAAUAU
This is a long non-coding RNA of Pleuronectes platessa (European plaice), 4030 nucleotides long. RefSeq lists it as uncharacterized. The transcript has 4 exons. NCBI's taxonomy places the organism in Eukaryota, Metazoa, Chordata, Actinopteri, Pleuronectiformes, Pleuronectidae. The record is from RefSeq and is a predicted model, not a curated record.